GGAGAGCAUAGCUCAGUGGCUGAGCAUUUGCUUUCUACACAGAAGGCUCCAGGUUCAAUCCUUGGCAUCUCCA
Podarcis lilfordi (Lilford's wall lizard) is the source of this 73-nucleotide non-coding RNA. NCBI's taxonomy places the organism in Eukaryota, Metazoa, Chordata, Lepidosauria, Squamata, Lacertidae. The record is from the annotation of a GenBank genome assembly.